GGCAACCCUGACGGAGCAACGCCGCGUGUGGGAGGACGGCCUUCGGGUUGUAAACCACUUUUCUCAGGGAAGAAGUCCUGACGGUACCUGAGGAAUCAGCCUCGGCUAACUCCGUGCCAGCAGCCGCGGUAAUACGGAGGAGGCAAGCGUUAUCCGGAAUUAUUGGGCGUAAAGCGUCCGCAGGGGGCGCAUCAAGUCUGCUGUUAAAGGUCGGAGCUAAACUCCGGUAGAGCAGUGGAAACUGGUGCGCUAGAGGGCGACAGGGGUAGAGGGAAUUCCCAGUGUAGCGGUGAAAUGCGUAGAGAUCGGGAAGAACAUCGGUGGCGAAAGCGCUCUACUGGACGGCAACUGACACUCAGGGACGAAAGCUAGGGGAGCG
This 379-nucleotide ribosomal RNA is filed under the name uncultured cyanobacterium. Its description in RNAcentral is "bacterial SSU rRNA". It matches the Rfam family "Bacterial small subunit ribosomal RNA", at positions 376 to 770 of the family's 1533-position model. Lineage: Bacteria; Bacillati; Cyanobacteriota. The record is from RNAcentral.